RNAcentral lists this unclassified non-coding RNA (263 nucleotides) under Hevea brasiliensis (rubber tree). Lineage: Eukaryota; Viridiplantae; Streptophyta; Magnoliopsida; Malpighiales; Euphorbiaceae. The record is from RNAcentral.
UGAACCUUGGCCAAAUGAGAGGGAGAAGUCAGUGGAUGUAAAUUCAAGUAAUGCAGAACACAGCACCCUGUUAGUAGAUUUGCAGGUGACAGGUCCAUUUUCGAUAAAUACUGUUCCUGAGCAAAGUAGGAGGAAGGGGUUUACUGCUAGUGGACCAACUUCAAAUGGAAAGUGUGCAAUUCUGGGCCUUUUGGCCAAUGGAGCUUCAUUUAGUGGCCCCCUCGCUGCCGAAGGUAAGCCUGGCCCAAAAAAAAGAAAGAGAA